This 372-nucleotide ribosomal RNA is filed under the name uncultured organism. RNAcentral's name for it is "bacterial SSU rRNA". It matches the Rfam family "Bacterial small subunit ribosomal RNA", at positions 526 to 896 of the family's 1533-position model. The record is from RNAcentral.
CAGAGGGGGCAAGCGUUGUUCGGAAUUACUGGGCGUAAAGGGCGCGUAGGCGGCCUGCUAAGUCGAACGUGAAAUCCCUGGGCUCAACCCAGGAACUGCGUCCGAUACUGGUUGGCUUGAAUCCGGGAGAGGGAUGCGGAAUUCCAGGUGUAGCGGUGAAAUGCGUAGAUAUCUGGAGGAACACCGGUGGCGAAGGCGGCAUCCUGGACCGGCAUUGACGCUGAGGCGCGAAAGCCAGGGGAGCAAACGGGAUUAGAUACCCCGGUAGUCCUGGCCCUAAACGAUGAAUGCUUGGUGUGGUGGGUAUCGAUCCCUACCGUGCCGAAGCUAACGCAUUAAGCAUUCCGCCUGGGGAGUACGGUCGCAAGGCUG